AGUGAACGCUGGCGGUAGGCCUAACACAUGCAAGUCGAACGGCAGCACAGUAAGAGCUUGCUCUUACGGGUGGCGAGUGGCGGACGGGUGAGGAAUACAUCGGAAUCUACUUUUUCGUGGGGGAUAACGUAGGGAAACUUACGCUAAUACCGCAUACGACCUACGGGUGAAAGCAGGGGGUCUUCGGACCUUGCGCGAUUGAAUGAGCCGAUGUCGGAUUAGCUAGUUGGCGGGGUAAAGGCCCACCAAGGCGACGAUCCGUAGCUGGUCUGAGGGGAUGAUCAGCCACACUGGAACUGAGACACGGUCCAGACUCCUACGGGAGGCAGCAGUGGGGAAUAUUGGACAAUGGGCGCAAGCCUGAUCCAGCCAUACCGCGUGGGUGAAGAAGGCCUUCGGGUUGUAAAGCCCUUUUGUUGGGAAAGAAAAGCAGCAGGUUAAUACCCCGCUGUUCUGACGGUACCCAAAGAAUAAGCACCGGCUAACUUCGUG
Molecule: ribosomal RNA, 492 nt
Filed under: uncultured bacterium
Lineage: Bacteria
Description: partial 16S ribosomal RNA
Rfam family: Bacterial small subunit ribosomal RNA
Source: RNAcentral